This 495-nucleotide ribosomal RNA is filed under the name uncultured bacterium. Its description in RNAcentral is "partial 16S ribosomal RNA". It matches the Rfam family "Bacterial small subunit ribosomal RNA", at positions 28 to 507 of the family's 1533-position model. The record is from RNAcentral.
GACGAACGCUGGCGGCGUGCCUAAUACAUGCAAGUAGAACGCUGAAGGAGGAGCUUGCUCUUCUGGAUGAGUUGCGAACGGGUGAGUAACGCGUAGGUAACCUGCCUGGUAGCGGGGGAUAACUAUUGGAAACGAUAGCUAACACCGCAUAACAGUAGAUGUUGCAUGACAUUUACUUAAAAGGUGCAAUUGCAUCACUACCAGAUGGACCUGCGUUGUAUUAGCUAGUUGGUGGGGUAACGGCUCACCAAGGCGACGAUACAUAGCCGACCUGAGAGGGUGAUCGGCCACACUGGGACUGAGACACGGCCCAGACUCCUACGGGAGGCAGCAGUAGGGAAUCUUCGGCAAUGGACGGAAGUCUGACCGAGCAACGCCGCGUGAGUGAAGAAGGUUUUCGGAUCGUAAAGCUCUGUUGUAAGAGAAGAACGAGUGUGAGAGUGGAAAGUUCACACUGUGACGGUAUCUUACCAGAAAGGGACGGCUAACUACGUG